CUGAAAACGUAUAGCAACAUAGUUCAUUCCAUUUCUUAAAUUUCCUCACUUUGGAUGCAUUUCAUUUUCAAUUAGGCAAAUUAAGAAAAGGCAAAGCCUAAGUAGAGAAAAAAAAAAGGGUUCGGCCAUGGCUGCUUUCGGCCAUGGCAGUCCAAUAUAUAUAAAACAAAAAGUGGUUUUUGCUUGCUUAGAUUAGUUCCAAGGUGAUUUUCAAGUUCAAGGAGUUGAUAGCAACAUUGGAUAUUCAAUCGAGGAAGGAGAAAUUGCGAAAUUGGAGCAAUUAAAAGUAGAAAUUCCUCCGAGAAAAUUGUUGCUAAAAGAGCGGCGAGACGAACGGUUUUGCGAUUAGUCAUCAACAGGUACAGACGCUCGUUUUGGUGAUCCGCCAGCUUAGGAUAUAUAUUCAGCUAUCUUGGAGUGCUCCCUUGUUCCGGAGCCUAGCUUUGUGGUACAGAUUCUCCUGUUGUAUAUAUAUGUCUACCCAAGGGUACGACGGGGCCCUGUCCCGUCAUAUGAUAUUGUUGUUACUCUUAAAGGUCUGUAGACAUAUGUGUGGGUCUGUAUAUAGUUGUUGUUUAGUUGUGUGGAUAUGCCUUAUGUUUUGGGGUGUACCCAUUCGUAGUGGCAGCCUUGUUGGCUUGCGUAGAUAUAUAUAUAUACAUAUGUGUUUUGGAAGCCGUGUGUUAUGGUAGCCUUGUUGGCUCGUGUUUGGCCAGCUUAUGUGCGAUAUUAUCUGUUGAAAGUUGUAACUCCUCAGGA
Long non-coding RNA from Lycium barbarum (goji berry), 759 nucleotides. RefSeq lists it as uncharacterized. Lineage: Eukaryota; Viridiplantae; Streptophyta; Magnoliopsida; Solanales; Solanaceae. The transcript is spliced from 3 exons. The record is from RefSeq and is a predicted model, not a curated record.